Molecule: transfer RNA, 74 nt
Filed under: Pteropus alecto (black flying fox)
Lineage: Eukaryota; Metazoa; Chordata; Mammalia; Chiroptera; Pteropodidae
Rfam family: tRNA
About the family: Transfer RNA (tRNA) molecules are approximately 80 nucleotides in length. Their secondary structure includes four short double-helical elements and three loops (D, anti-codon, and T loops).
Source: Rfam by way of RNAcentral
GGCUCCAUAGCGUAGCGGUUAGCAUGUCUGCUUUACACGCAGAAGGUCCUGGGUUCGUGCCCCAGGUGGAGCCA